GGGUACUUAGCUCAGCCGGUAGAGCAUCUGACUUUUAAUCAGGGGGUCAUAGGUUCGAAUCCUAUAGUACCCACCA
RNAcentral lists this transfer RNA (76 nucleotides) under Alphaproteobacteria bacterium GWA1_45_9. RNAcentral's name for it is "tRNA-Lys". It matches the Rfam family "tRNA". From Rfam's summary of the family: Transfer RNA (tRNA) molecules are approximately 80 nucleotides in length. Their secondary structure includes four short double-helical elements and three loops (D, anti-codon, and T loops). The record is from RNAcentral. RNAcentral also lists the same sequence under 4 other names. Lineage: Bacteria; Pseudomonadati; Pseudomonadota; Alphaproteobacteria.